AGAGUUUGAUCCUGGCUCAGAGCGAACGUUAGCGGGAGGCUUAACACAUGCAAGUCGAGCGAGAACAGGGACUUCGGUCCCUUAGUAAAGCGGCGGACGGGUGAGUAACACGUGGAUAAUCUGCCCUUUGGCGGGGGACAACAAUUCGAAAGGAUUGCUAAUACCGCAUAAGUCUAGUGAGCCUCAGGGUUCAUUAGGGAAAGAUGGCCUCUUCUUGAAAGCCGUCACCGAAGGAUGAGUCCGCGUAGCAUCAGCUUGUUGGUGGGGUAAUGGCCUACCAAGGCAAAGACGCUUAGCUGGUCUGAGAGGAUGAUCAGCCACACUGGGACUGAGAUACGGCCCAGACUCCUACGGGAGGCAGCAGUGGGGAAUAUUGGACAAUGGGCGCAAGCCUGAUCCAGCCAUGCCGCGUGUGUGAAGAAGGCCUUCGGGUUGUAAAGCACUUUCAGUUGUGAGGAAAGGGAUGUAGUUAAUAGCUGCAUUCUGUGACGUUAACAACAGAAGAAGCACCGGCUAACUUCGUGCCAGCAGCCGCGGUAAUACGAGGGGUGCAAGCGUUAAUCGGAAUUACUGGGCGUAAAGCGUUCGUAGGCGGUUAUUUAAGCAAGAUGUGAAAGCCCAGGGCUCAACCUUGGAACUGCAUUUUGAACUGGGUAACUAGAGUACUGUAGAGGAGGGUGGGGGAAUGGCCAGUGUAGCGGGUAAAGGCGUUGAGAUUGGAAGGAACAGCAGUGGCGAAGGCGGCCACUUGGACAGAUACUGGACGCUGAGGAACGAAAGCGUGGGGAGCGAACCGGGUUAGAUCCCCUGGUAGUCCACGCCGUAAACGAUGUCAACUAGCAGUUUGUGGACUUGAUCCGUGAGUGGCGCAGCUAACGCACUAAGUUGACCGCCUGGGGAGUCCGGUCGCAAGGUUAAAAACAACUCAAAUGAAUUGACGGGGGCCCGCACAAGCGGUGGAGCAUGCGGUUUAACUCGAAGCAACGCGAAGAACCUUACCCGCUCUUGACAUCCAGAUAACUCGCUAGAUAUAGCUUGGUGCCUUCGGGAACUCUGAGACAGGUGCUGCAUGGCUGUCGUCAGCUCGUGUUGUGAAAUGUUGGGUUAAGUCCCGUAACGAGCGCAACCCUUGUCCUUAUUUGCCAGCACGUAAUGGUGGGAACUCUAAGGAGACUGCCGGUGACAAACCGGAGGAAGGUGGGGACGACGUCAAGUCAUCAUGGCCCUUAUGGGGUGGGCUACACACGUGCUACAAUGGCCGGUACAGAGGGUUGCCAAGCCGCGAGGUGGAGCUAAUCCCAGAAAACCGAUCGUAGUCCGGAUUGGAGUCUGCAACUCGACUCCAUGAAGUCGGAAUCGCUAGUAAUCGCGAAUCAGAAUGUCGCGGUGAAUACGUUCCCGGGCCUUGUACACACCGCCCGUCACACCAUGGGAGUGGAUUGCACCAGAAGUAGGUAGCUUAACCUUCGGGAGAGCGCUUACCACGGUGUGGUUCAUGACUGGGGUGAAGUCGUAACAAGGUAGCC
Molecule: ribosomal RNA, 1526 nt
Filed under: uncultured prokaryote
Description: partial 16S ribosomal RNA
Rfam family: Bacterial small subunit ribosomal RNA
Source: RNAcentral